CCGCCCUUCUAUCGGAUUAGUAGUUGUAGCAUUAAACUAAAUAUACAAGUCAAAUAAAACAAUUCUUUAAACUGCUCUGCUGUCCAUAUUUGAUUUUCAAAACAGCGAUCGUUCCUUUCUCUCUACUCAUACCAUACAAUGCAUCCUCGAAUGAGAUUCCAAACAAGCUAGUUAUUCUUAUUUCGAAGCUUUCUCCUCCAUGCAUGCAUCACGGCCUCUAUACGUCUUGGCAACACCCAACUCAUAUGAUGAGAAGCCAGAAUAUCGUUCCACAGUCAACAAAUACCAUCAUAAUGAAUGAAUAAAUGGUUAAUCGUCUUUCCAUUCCUCUUACAGAUAUAGCACCACUUGGUAAUAUAAUAACCUUUUCUUUCAAGAUUGUCCACCAUCAACACCUGUCCCCUCACAACCAUCCAUAAGUAAAAUGCUACCAUCGGAGGCAAUUUACAUUGUCAUACCCUCUUCUAGGGGAAUGAACUUUCUACAGGUUCCAAUAAGGAUCCUAAAUAAGUCCAAACAGAAAUUACCAUUUUCAUGCCACCCUCCACCUACAACAAUUGUCCUUUCCCACUUGGAUGUGCACCUUAAGCAAAGAGGUCAAAAAUAGCGCAUAAUCAUUUGAUUCUCAAUCCUGUAAACCCCUUCUAAAAGCGAUGUUCCAGCUAGGACUCCCAUUAGUAUAGCUAUUACAUCAUUCACCGUAGCAGAAGACUCCAAAGUAAUGCGAUGCAAAGAAGGAACCCGCACUUUUAGUGGUUGAUCUCUAUACUAACAAUCUUCCCAAAUUUGACAUUCGUACCAUUCCCCACCACAAAAGCCAAUCUAUCCCGAAAAUUAC
Molecule: long non-coding RNA, 838 nt
Filed under: Olea europaea subsp. europaea
Lineage: Eukaryota; Viridiplantae; Streptophyta; Magnoliopsida; Lamiales; Oleaceae
Source: RNAcentral